This 274-nucleotide ribosomal RNA is filed under the name uncultured bacterium. RNAcentral describes it as "partial 16S ribosomal RNA". It matches the Rfam family "Bacterial small subunit ribosomal RNA", at positions 523 to 796 of the family's 1533-position model. The record is from RNAcentral.
AUACGGAGGGUCCAAGCGUUAUCCGGAUUUAUUGGGUUUAAAGGGUACGUAGGCGGAAUUUUAAGUCAGUGGUGAAAUCUCGGAGCUUAACUUCGAAACUGCCAUUGAUACUGGAAUACUUGAGUAUAGUUGAGGUAGGCGGAAUAUGUAAUGUAGCGGUGAAAUGCAUAGAUAUUACAUAGAACACCGAUUGCGAAGGCAGCUUACUAAACUAUUACUGACGCUGAUGCACGAAAGCGUGGGGAGCGAACAGGAUUAGAAACCCCAGUAGUCC